AAUCGUAUUUCGGGUGUAAAUCUGAUUGGUCUAUGAGACAAAAAUAUUUUUUAAUCUGUCAUUUGAUUGGUUGGUGCUAAUUAUAUUAUAUUGUUUAUAGUGAUCACAACUAUAAUUAGAUUGUUGUUGUCCUUGUGUGAAAUUUAAAUUUCUCCUGCGACAUUUUGAUUGGAUAAUAAAUAUAAACUUUGCUGCACAUGGGUGAAAACUAUCGGAUUAAGGUUUGUGUAGACAUUGUGUAGUAAUGAUGGGGAGACAAAAUCUGUUUGUGUCAAUAUUUUCAUAUGUCAGCUUCUGAUGACAUCAUUCAUUUGUAAUGAUUAAGAUUG
Molecule: non-coding RNA, 329 nt
Organism: Paramuricea clavata
Lineage: Eukaryota; Metazoa; Cnidaria; Anthozoa; Malacalcyonacea; Plexauridae
Source: the annotation of a GenBank genome assembly